GGGAGGCAGCAGUAGGGAAUCUUCCGCAAUGGACGAAAGUCUGACGGAGCAACGCCGCGUGAGUGAUGAAGGCUUUCGGGUCGUAAAACUCUGUUGUUAGGGACGAACAAGUGCUAGUUGAAUAAGCUGGCACCUUGACGGUACCUAACCAGAAAGCCACGGCUAACUACGUGCCAGCAGCCGCGGUAAU
Molecule: ribosomal RNA, 190 nt
Filed under: Bacillus sp. enrichment culture DGGE gel band jl-5d-7
Lineage: Bacteria; Bacillati; Bacillota; Bacilli; Caryophanales; Bacillaceae
Description: partial 16S ribosomal RNA
Rfam family: Bacterial small subunit ribosomal RNA
Source: RNAcentral